RNAcentral lists this ribosomal RNA (501 nucleotides) under Vibrio sp. RNAcentral describes it as "bacterial SSU rRNA". It matches the Rfam family "Bacterial small subunit ribosomal RNA", at positions 30 to 508 of the family's 1533-position model. The record is from RNAcentral. Lineage: Bacteria; Pseudomonadati; Pseudomonadota; Gammaproteobacteria; Vibrionales; Vibrionaceae.
AUUGAACGCUGGCGGCAGGCCUAACACAUGCAAGUCGAGCGGAAACGAGUUAUCUGACCCUUCGGGUGACGAUAACGGCGUCGAGCGGCGGACGGGUGAGUAAUGCCUGGGAAAUUGCCCUGAUGUGGGGGAUAACCAUUGGAAACGAUGGCUAAUACCGCAUAAUAGCUUCGGCUCAAAGAGGGGGACCUUCGGGCCUCUCGCGUCAGGAUAUGCCCAGGUGGGAUUAGCUAGUUGGUGAGGUAAGGGCUCACCAAGGCGACGAUCCCUAGCUGGUCUGAGAGGAUGAUCAGCCACACUGGAACUGAGACACGGUCCAGACUCCUACGGGAGGCAGCAGUGGGGAAUAUUGCACAAUGGGCGCAAGCCUGAUGCAGCCAUGCCGCGUGUAUGAAGAAGGCCUUCGGGUUGUAAAGUACUUUCAGCAGUGAGGAAGGURGUAGUGUUAAUAGCACUAUUAUUUGACGUUAGCUGCAGAAGAAGCACCGGCUAACUCCGUGC